UUAAUAAAUCAUAAUUAAACCUUUCUCUCCUUAAUUUAUCCUACAUAUUACUAUGGUGAAGGCAACCAAAAAGGACCAUGCUCAUAAUCGGGUCAAGUAUAUACCAAAAUAGUUGUGGACUUAGACACUAAUCCAACAGUCUCCCACUUGGAUAAGUCUAAUAACUAUUUUUCAUAACUUUAGAACCUAAUUAGCAAUCUGUAACGCCCGUGUUUCUGGUAACAGUCUCCCACUUGGAUAAGUCUAAUAACUAUUUUUCAUAACUUUAGAACCUAAUUAGCAAUCUGUAACGCCCGUGUUUCUGGUCUUGCUAUUUUUAGCAAUGUAAUAGUCUAGGUUAACCUUUGUAACCCCAAUUUGAAAUAAUAAAAAUGUAUUAUUUGUGAAUUAUGUGAUUUAUGUGUGUGUUCUUAAUUAUUAUAAUUUAAUGAAUUAAGAAUAAAAUAAGCGUCAAAAUUAAAAUAUUAGAUAUGCCCGAUAUCUUUGCAUAA
This 491-nucleotide long non-coding RNA is filed under the name Lactuca sativa (garden lettuce). RNAcentral describes it as "long non-coding RNA (LSAT_LNC006967)". The record is from RNAcentral. Lineage: Eukaryota; Viridiplantae; Streptophyta; Magnoliopsida; Asterales; Asteraceae.